Molecule: ribosomal RNA, 162 nt
Filed under: Blumeodendron kurzii
Lineage: Eukaryota; Viridiplantae; Streptophyta; Magnoliopsida; Malpighiales; Euphorbiaceae
Description: 5.8S ribosomal RNA
Rfam family: 5.8S ribosomal RNA
About the family: 5.8S ribosomal RNA (5.8S rRNA) is a component of the large subunit of the eukaryotic ribosome.
Source: RNAcentral
AACGACUCUCGGCAACGGAUAUCUCGGCUCUCGCAUCGAUGAAGAACGCAGCAAAAUGCGAUACUUGGUGUGAAUUGCAGAAUCCCGUGAAUCAUCGAGUUUUUGAACGCAAGUUGCGCCCGAAGCCUCUCGGCCGAGGGCACGCCUGCCUGGGUGUCACGC